This 497-nucleotide ribosomal RNA is filed under the name uncultured bacterium. RNAcentral's name for it is "partial 16S ribosomal RNA". It matches the Rfam family "Bacterial small subunit ribosomal RNA", at positions 28 to 507 of the family's 1533-position model. The record is from RNAcentral.
GAUGAACGCUGGCGGCGUGCCUAAUACAUGCAAGUCGAGCGAACAGACGAGGAGCUUGCUCCUCUGACGUUAGCGGCGGACGGGUGAGUAACACGUGGAUAACCUACCUAUAAGACUGGGAUAACUUCGGGAAACCGGAGCUAAUACCGGAUAAUAUAUUGAACCGCAUGGUUCAAUAGUGAAAGACGGUUUUGCUGUCCCUUAUAGAUGGAUCCGCGCCGCAUUAGCUAGUUGGUAAGGUAACGGCUUACCAAGGCAACGAUGCGUAGCCGACCUGAGAGGGGGAUCGGCCACACUGGAACGGGGACACGGUCCAGACUCCUACGGGAGGCAGCAGUAGGGAAUCUUCCGCAAUGGGCGAAAGCCUGACGGAGCAACGCCGCGGGAGUGAUGAAGGUCUUCGGAUCGUAAAACUCUGUUAUUAGGGAAGAACAAAUGUGUAAGUAACUAUGCACGUCUUGACGGUACCUAAUCAGAAAGCCACGGCUAACUACGUG